RNAcentral lists this ribosomal RNA (330 nucleotides) under uncultured eukaryote. Its description in RNAcentral is "partial 18S ribosomal RNA". It matches the Rfam family "Eukaryotic small subunit ribosomal RNA", at positions 1470 to 1796 of the family's 1831-position model. The record is from RNAcentral.
CCCUUAGAUGUUCUGGGCCGCACGCGCGCUACACUGAUGCAUUCAACGAGUCUAAAACCUGCUCUGAUAGGGGUGGGUAAUCUUUUGAAUGUGCAUCGUGAUUGGGAUAGAUGAUUGCAAUUUUUCAUCUUCAACGAGGAAUGCCUAGUAAACGCAAGUCAUCAGCUUGCAUUGAUUACGUCCCUGCCCUUUGUACACACCGCCCGUCGCUCCUACCGAUUGAAUGAUCCGAUGAAUACCAUGGAUUGAGAGUACGAAUAGGUUCGCUUAUUUCUGCUGCUCGAGAAGUGGAGUAAAUCUUAUCAUUUAGAGGAAGGAGAAGUCGUAACA